RNAcentral lists this small nuclear RNA (281 nucleotides) under Myotis davidii. RNAcentral's name for it is "7SK RNA". It matches the Rfam family "7SK RNA". From Rfam's summary of the family: 7SK was discovered as an abundant small nuclear RNA in the mid-70s but a possible function has only recently been suggested. Two independent studies have found that 7SK RNA binds the CDK9/cyclin T complex (known as elongation factor P-TEFb). The record is from Rfam by way of RNAcentral. Lineage: Eukaryota; Metazoa; Chordata; Mammalia; Chiroptera; Vespertilionidae.
GCAUGUGAGGGUGAUCUGGCCGCCACAGCUGUCACCCACUGAUCACCGGGGCUGGGCUGGCUGGUGAGGCGGGUGUCCCCUCCUCCCGCACUGACCCACCUGGGUCCCUGCGAGGCUGCAUGCUCACCUUCCCGAGAAGGGAGGCCUUUCCUUCAGCCCAGGGUCUCCGGGCAGCUGCGCUCCCUGCUAGGACCUCCCAAGGAGCUCUCAAAAUCGUUUCAUGAUGUGGAUGCGAUGCCUUCAGAACAUAACUCUUGUUUAUGUGGUAAAACUGGUUUCAU